AGAACUGCCAGGGCCUGUUCAGACACACGAAGCACUGCAGGGCUGUAGGGCUGCUGGGCUGCUGAACUGGGUCUCAGAGCUUCAUGAGGAACAUUUGAUGUUGCCAAGGUCACCCAGCUGGCCAGCAUCCGUAGAGCUGCUGUGUCUGUUUGAUGAGGGGAGAGAGAAGAAGUGGAAGAGGAAGAGAGAGAGAUUAUGGGAAUCAGUUCACACUGUUCUGCAGGCUGGUAAGUCUCACAUCCAGCACCUGAAGCUGGAGACCGGGGCAGUAGGGGUGGAUGGGUCCCUAAGUCUGAAGCCUGAGAACCAGGGUGCCGAAGUCCAAGGUGGAAAAGGGUUAAUAUUUCUCUGUGAACAGACCAAAGUCCCUUUCCUCGGCCUUCUGUUCGACCUGGGCCCUUGAUGGAUAGAACCAUGGCCACCUGCUUUGGUGAGAGUGAGUCUUCCUCACUUGGUCUCCAACACCGAAUGUUAACCUCUUCCACAAAUGCCCACAAAAUCACAUCUGGAAGGAACGUCUUGCCACCAGUUAGCUGAAGGAGUUAACAGGAAUGCCUUCGCUGCUGGUCCCCAGAGUGGAGCACAAGUACGCCAGACUUGAUCUGCAGGCCAGGGAGGGGCAGGCUCUGAGAUGUGCACAGUGCCUUGGCCACAAAGAGGUAAACACAAUCAACAACAAAAGCAAGCACAGGUUCACAGCAAGAGGCUGUCUCAGUGAUACCCAAGCUCAUCACUGGCCUAACUCAUCUAACAAAGUGUAUUUCAGGGAAGUAUUAGACCAGAAUGAAUUGGUUAAAGCAGAAAGCACCCAAUCUUCCACCCAGAUAGUUUGAGAAUGUGGUUUUCUAUUUGAACCAAAUGCCCCUGCAGGAGUGAGUGCCGGGAGGUUCCUUAGUCUUCUGUACUCUGUGCAUAUGCCCUUGGCCUCUGCCAGGCCUCUGUCUGAACUCUCUGUUCUGUGCAGAGCUGUGCCCUCGGGCCAGGGCUGUGACUUACUGGCACCACCUUCUCAGCACCCC
RNAcentral lists this long non-coding RNA (1019 nucleotides) under Fukomys damarensis (Damara mole-rat). RNAcentral's name for it is "lncRNA (ENSFDAG00000026595.1)". The record is from RNAcentral. Lineage: Eukaryota; Metazoa; Chordata; Mammalia; Rodentia; Bathyergidae.